This is a long non-coding RNA of Aphidius gifuensis, 460 nucleotides long. RefSeq lists it as uncharacterized. NCBI's taxonomy places the organism in Eukaryota, Metazoa, Arthropoda, Insecta, Hymenoptera, Braconidae. The record is from RefSeq and is a predicted model, not a curated record. The transcript has 3 exons.
UGCAUAUCUCGUAUAGACCAUUUGUGUGAUGCCAAAAUAUUGAUGGAAAAUAAUACUCUGCGUAUUCAGGGUGUCCAUACGCACCAACCAUCAAGAGAAAAUGGUCGUUUCAAACGUCUCCCAUGUGCUCGGUGCAGCGGACGACCUAUUGCAAUGGUUGCUAGGCCAUGCUAUUGUGUUGCUAUUUGUCAGGACUGCACCGAGGAACAAGGAUUUAAUAUGAUAUGUCCACGCUGCAAUCUUGAGGCCGAAAGUUUUACCCGAGUAUUUAUUGGAAAUGAAAAUGAGGGGCCAGGCAUGCAACCGGUUGAAAUGACUUGUCGAGUCUGCCUGGAUGGACCAAUAUCAUUCAUGGUUGAUAAUUGCAAUCAUUUAAUAAUAUGUGGUGACUGUACCGAUCGUCUGAAUGCUACCGAAGAAGGAAAUUUUAUCCGAUGCCCAGUUUGCAGGAUGUAUGGUG